UUAAGCCAUGCGAGUCGAACGAGUUUAGGCUCGUGGCGUACGGCUCAGUAACACGUGGAUAACCUACCCUUAGGACUGGGAUAACCCUGGGAAACUGGGGAUAAUACUAGAUAGGCAAUUUUUCCUGGAAUGGUUUUUUGUUUAAAUGUUUUUUCGCCUAAGAAUGGGUCUGCGGCCGAUUAGGUAGUUGGUUAGGUAACGGCUUACCAAGCCAUUGAUCGGUACGGGUUGUGAGAGCAAGAGCCCGGAGAUGGAACCUGAGACAAGGUUCCAGGCCCUACGGGGUGCAGCAGGCGCGAAACCUCCGCAAUGUGAGAAAUCGCGACGGGGGGAUCCCAAGUGCCAUUCUUAACGGGAUGGCUUUUCAUUAGUGUAAAGAGCUUUUGGAAUAAGGGCUGGGCAAGACCGGUGCCAGCCGCCGCGGUAA
Molecule: ribosomal RNA, 427 nt
Filed under: uncultured archaeon
Lineage: Archaea
Description: bacterial SSU rRNA
Rfam family: Archaeal small subunit ribosomal RNA
Source: RNAcentral